Molecule: unclassified non-coding RNA, 4048 nt
Filed under: Hevea brasiliensis (rubber tree)
Lineage: Eukaryota; Viridiplantae; Streptophyta; Magnoliopsida; Malpighiales; Euphorbiaceae
Source: RNAcentral
CAUAAAUUUAUCUUCUCGUUCUCCUGCUCACUCUGCGGUGGCAUAAAAAUAGUGGAAAAGAUGGGUGUGGGUCCCAUUAUUCACCACCGUGAAGCCAAGAAUCUGAGACCUUUCUUUUCUUUUCUUUCCUUUCCUAGUAAAAACAGACCCACAUAACAAGAAAAUUUGAAUGCACCAUCCAUUUAACAUUUUUUCACUAUUAUCAUUCAUUCCCACUGAUUCUUUGAACAUGGAAACUUCAAUUACUUGGAGCAGAGAAGAAGAGAAAGCUUUUGAGAAUGCAAUUGCUACCCAUUGGACUGAGGAGGAUGAAGAAUCCAAAGAGCUAUGGGAAAAGAUUGCUUCUAUGGUGCCUGGUAAAAGUAUUCAAGAAUUGAAACAACACUACCAAUUACUAGUUGAGGAUGUUUGUGCAAUAGAGGCAGGAAAUAUACCCCUUCCUAAUUAUGGAGGAGAGGAAGCAACAUCUUCAACUAAGGAUUCUCAUGGAAAUUCUGGAGCAGUGGCUAGAGAUAAGAGAUUGAAUUCUGGUUAUGGAAGUGGGGUUUUGGGGUUAGGACAUGACUCUUCUGGACAUGGUGGGAAAGGAAGAUCAAGGUCUGACCAAGAAAGAAGAAAAGGAAUUCCAUGGACAGAAGAAGAGCAUAGGUUGUUUCUGCUGGGUCUUAACAAGUUUGGAAAAGGUGAUUGGAGAAGCAUAUCAAGAAACUUUGUGAUAUCAAGGACUCCUACUCAAGUAGCCAGUCAUGCUCAGAAAUACUUCAUUCGGUUGAACUCAAUGAAUAGAGACAGGAGGAGGUCUAGCAUCCAUGACAUUACUAAUGUGAACAAUGGAGAUGUAUCGUCUCAUCAAGCACCCAUUACUGGCCAGCAAGCUGACACAGGUGCCGCCGCCGCUAUAGGAACUGUAGUGAAGCUGAGGGUUCAACCCCAUAUGACUGGUUUAGGAAUGUAUGGUGCACCAGUUGGGCAUCCAGUUGCUCCUCCAGGUCAUGUGGCAUCAGCUGUUGGGACUCCUGUUAUGCUUCCUCCUGGACACCAUCCUUCCUAUGUUGUUCCUGUCCCUUACCCAAUGGCACCACCACAAACAAUGCACUAAUAAUAAUGCAUCUCUCUCUCUCAGUUCGAAGAUUGAAGAGAUUGUGAUGAAUGCCAAGGAAGACGAUUCUUUUAGCUGGGUAUUGGAACAGAGAUUUAUUGAUGUAGAGUAGCAACAUAAUAAUUUGGCAUAUCAUCGACCUUGUCUGAUUAAUAAGUCAAAUGCAUUUCUCGUCCAGAUUUGUUCGUAUCCAAUCUUAAAAUGCCCAGCGUAUUUGAUAGAAGAAUUAUCAAUGAUAACCACCCUCCUCUAUACUGCUGUGAAAUUUCUGUUGCUGCUUAUAAAACAUUAGAAAUCCAUCUCUUUUUUCAAUCCGUCACAUCGAUUUUUAACCCAACUGGGAUUAGAAAUGAUAACACCAUUUUCAAUAUUCUCCCUCUUUCCCCUACUUCUACCAAGAAAACAGCAACAUUCUCGUAGAUGAAGCGUCUUUUAAACCACAAUUGGUAAUGCUGUCUUCUCACAAAAGCAAAGCUGAUGUCUGAGUUGCAGUCUUGAAGUAGAUGCUAAGCAGUCAUGGCACCAGCAAAAUUAACAUGCCAUUAGCUUGAGUUGCAACUUGGUGCCUGAGUUGAUCUCAUGUCCAAUUAUGGCCUUCAUGGUAUUAAAAAUACGAGGUGGGGGAUAACAGUGAAUGGAAGGCAUUGUUUGAAUUAGCAAAUUAGUAAGUGAUAAAAGAGGACAAAUAAAUAAAUAAAAAUGUCAAUUCUUUGACCAAAGCAACUAAUAUGUGAUAUUAUCGGUAAGGAAUCAGCAUCCUAAACAAAAAGUUGUAUUGCAACUACUAAUAACAAAAAUUCACAAAACUGAAGCAGAUGAACAAGGAGAGGAUCUAGUCAGCCGCAGUUGAUCUUAUCAAAGAUCCCACCAAGUAAAUGAUACAAUAAGCUCUCCUACGCCUCUUUUUAAUUUGUUUUUCUGCAGGUAAAGGUCAAAAAAAGAUUAUUUUGCUAUCUAAACAUAUUUCUGAAUUGCAGAUCAAUUCCAUUUCCUUUCCAUUUUCAAAGCAACCAAGAGAAUAAAAAAGAAAAAGAAUAAAAAAAAUACAAGCCUAAAUUUAAACCAUCAACCAUUAACUUGACUGAAAAGUUGAUAGAAGGACUGGGAACCACUCAUUUUUACUCUCAGAACAGUAUGCUUCCCAUUGCAACUCAAUUUUGCAACACUAGACUCCAGAGAAAGAUCAAAAGUGCAUCUGAAUCUUCACUACUUCCAGAACAGUUUGCAGGCCAGCUUUAGAAGGGACAGGGUUGCCUAAUUCAAGACCAGUGCCUUCACCCAGCAAUACCCCUUUUUUUUUUCUGGUAAAAACAAAGCCAAGAAGAACUUUAGGCAAAAAGUUAAGAAUGGUGAUGACAGCACACUUGAGACAACAGUACAGAGUAAUUCUCUAAAAACUCCCCAUCCAUCAAGUAAAGGUAAUUCUGAUCUUGCAGUUUGUGUAUAUUUUUUAUACAUAUAUAGAGAAAUGGAUCAGAUCAGCACUAUUAUCCACUGCCCAAUAAGGAAAUGUUCUCUAGUAUAACGAGCUUGCGUAUUUCAGAUAAAUGACGGUUCACCUUAAUCACUUCAGUAGCAGAAGAGGAUAUGGAGCGUAGAUUGUAGCCUCAAGAAUAACAAGCAACUUUCCACCAGAAAGAGUAUACAACAUAUGUGUCAUCUGUGCAUAGCCAGCAGGAGUUACAUGCAACGGAAUUGCUAAGAUGUCAAUGUAUAGAAAUACAAAAAUCAAAAUUACAGAAAAGAUACUCCAAGAAAGUAGAAUUGGCAUAAAAGUCGAGUGUGUUGAAAGGACUACUGCCAAAAAUACCCUACGUUAUACAAUUAAAAUUCAUCUGACAGUUUGACAAGAGAACACCAUGGAAACAAUCAAAUAGCUAUGGCAGUAGUUAUGUUUGAUUAAAUGAUAAACUAUGAAACUAUAACAAAUCAUUUAGACAAAAGGGAAAGUCCUUAAAUCACAGCAGCCCAAAGGAUCACCCCUUGCUGCAUCAAAACCAACAGAUAUGAUGGUGAAAUCAGGCACAAACUCAGCAGCUGCAAUAAUAUGGUUCCAACACCUUGAAGUGUUUAGUACAGAGUAUUACACUGGCUAUUCGAAACAAAAUGACUGCAAACCAAACCAAAAAAUUGAAUUUAAGACCACAGCUAAAUCCUCCAUGGAACAAAAAAUGAUGAGUAAACAUGCAUUAAUCACAGCCAACAUAAUAAAUCUUUGAUUAGUCAUAUGCUGUCAUCAAGGACAGUUUGGUUGCAAUUUGCCUAUUUCAAGCAUUAAAAAACACCAUGACAAUAGAGCAGCCUGCACCCGAGCUCAAUGCAAAGCAACACAAGGAACCUUAGAGAUUGAUAAACAGAAACAGUACACAAUUUAAGAGAAACAUUUACAACUUCCAGUUGCUCCCAUUUCAGCCACUUCAUCCUAAUCCCAAAUCAGCACCAACUAACAGUUGAAGACCAUUCCAAAAGGCAAGACCACACAGCAAUGACAUUAAUAUUAACAAAAGAGAGAGAAAAGAGAAGAGAAGAGGAUGAGAAGAACAACAACAAAAGAAAAGAUGGACAUGAGCACCAACCAGCAGCUUUAACAAAACACUAUUGAUAGCAUGCAAUGCCUUCUGUAAAUUUUAAAAUAAAAAGUACUUCCCAAAACACUGGUGAGCUAUGAUAAUAGGCAGUUGACCACCACUCAACCCACCCACAUCAACAUGCAGACCUUCAAUAUUUCACAUCGACAUUUGGUUAACUCGAAGGCCUUCACAUUACAAAACCAAUACUGCAUGCUGCCCACCAUCCCCACCAAAAUGAGAGCAGAUGCAUGAAUAACGUGAGAUAUUAACCUAUAGGUAGCACAACAUGCUGAAAUGCAAAAAUGUAAUCAUUAUCGCCAACCCCUCCACGACUCCAUGGAAUAUUUACACAAUAUCCUGCUGCACCUUCAGUACCGAU